GAUGAACGCUGGCGGCGCGCCUAACACAUGCAAGUCGAACGAUUAAAGCACCUUCGGGUGUGUAUAAAGUGGCGAACGGCUGAGUAACACGUGGGCAACCUGCCCCUCUCAUUGGGAUAGCCACGGGAAACCGUGGAUAAUACCGAAUACUUCGGGACUUCCGCAUGGAAGACUCGAGAAAGCUCCGGCGGAGAGGGAUGGGCCCGCGGCCUGUUAGCUUGUUGGUGGGGUAAUGGCCUACCAAGGCAAUGAUGGGUAGCUGGGUUGAGAGACCGACCAGCCAGAUUGGGACUGAGAAACGGCCCAGACUCCUACGGGAGGCAGCAGUGGGGAAUCUUGCACAAUGGGCGAAAGCCUGAUGCAGCGACGCCGCGUGCGGGAUGAAGGCCUUCGGGUUGUAAACCGCUUUCAGCAGGGACGAGGCGAUAGUGACGGUACCUGCAGAAGAAGCCCCGGCUAACUACGUG
Molecule: ribosomal RNA, 467 nt
Filed under: uncultured bacterium
Lineage: Bacteria
Description: partial 16S ribosomal RNA
Rfam family: Bacterial small subunit ribosomal RNA
Source: RNAcentral